CUUGGAGCUGACAGAAUUGUGGCAUGGCAGCUUGCAAGUAGAAGAAGUUAUAAUAAGGGAGUGAUAUCACACACACAGACAGACAUUCAGACACUCGACUUCUAACACAAAACUGAAGGCUGAAGGAACAGCAUCUGGCAUCGGUAGACAAGAUUUUUCAAGCACAAGGAAUUUUCUCACAUGAACAGCUGUAGGUCCUUGCAGAAGAUGGGAGAGUGCCAAGCCAAGAUCCUCUCCAUUAGAAGGCAUCCUGAAAGAUAUGAGGGACAACUGGGAUUUGGUUCUCCUCCCAUUUCUAUGGAAUGACUCAAGCAACAGCACUCGCUCAUCAAAGACAAAGCAUUGCCUGGUCAAGUUGUAUG
Molecule: long non-coding RNA, 362 nt
Filed under: Struthio camelus australis
Lineage: Eukaryota; Metazoa; Chordata; Aves; Struthioniformes; Struthionidae
Description: lncRNA (ENSSCUG00000010330.1)
Source: RNAcentral